GCCCAUGUAGCUCAGCCGGUAGAGCACAUCCAUGGUAAGGAUGGGGUCGCCAGUUCGAUUCUGGCCGUGGGCUCCA
Molecule: transfer RNA, 76 nt
Filed under: Candidatus Omnitrophota bacterium
Lineage: Bacteria; Pseudomonadati; Candidatus Omnitrophota
Description: tRNA-Thr
Rfam family: tRNA
About the family: Transfer RNA (tRNA) molecules are approximately 80 nucleotides in length.
Source: RNAcentral